RNAcentral lists this unclassified non-coding RNA (343 nucleotides) under Hevea brasiliensis (rubber tree). The record is from RNAcentral. Lineage: Eukaryota; Viridiplantae; Streptophyta; Magnoliopsida; Malpighiales; Euphorbiaceae.
ACGGAUGGUCUCAGCACUAUCAUGCCUGGGAGGAUCAAAGAGGGGUAGCAAUCCAACAAAUUGCCAUGGACCUCCAGUGCUCUCUUUUGAUUUCUCUGGCACUUCCUGUCUAGCUACAGCCAGUGACCUCAACCCACGCUCAGCGUAUUUGUCGAUCAUUGAAUGAACCUUUCUCCUGACAUCUUCCUUACAGUUACAUAGGUCCAAAAUCUGCUCAGGAGCUCCCUUGCUGGCACGGUGCCAGUUGCCAUUGCUGUCAAUAUAUGUUAAAGCAGUUCUCUUGUCCACUGGAUUGAAGGGCAAGAAAUGCACCUCCCUGAUACCAGCUCGUGCCUCUUUUGGA